This 579-nucleotide ribosomal RNA is filed under the name Australostoma sp. MCJ-2002. RNAcentral's name for it is "SSU rRNA". It matches the Rfam family "Eukaryotic small subunit ribosomal RNA", at positions 12 to 574 of the family's 1831-position model. The record is from RNAcentral. Lineage: Eukaryota; Metazoa; Arthropoda; Insecta; Orthoptera; Stenopelmatidae.
UCCUGCCAGUAGUCAUAUGCUUGUCUCAAAGAUUAAGCCAUGCAUGUCUCAGUGCAAGCCACAUUAAGGUGAAACCGCGAAUGGCUCAUUAAAUCAGUUAUGGUUCCUUAGAUCGUACCCACGUUACUUGGAUAACUGUGGUAAUUCUAGAGCUAAUACAUGCAAACAGAGUCCCGACCAGAAAUGGAAGGGACGCUUUUAUUAGAUCAAAACCAAUCGGUCGGCUCGUCCGGUCCGUUUGCCUUGGUGACUCUGAAUAACUUUGGGCUGAUCGCACGGUCCCUGUACCGGCGACGCAUCUUUCAAAUGUCUGCCUUAUCAACUGUCGAUGGUAGGUUCUGCGCCUACCAUGGUUGUAACGGGUAACGGGGAAUCAGGGUUCGAUUCCGGAGAGGGAGCCUGAGAAACGGCUACCACAUCCAAGGAAGGCAGCAGGCGCGCAAAUUACCCACUCCCGGCACGGGGAGGUAGUGACGAAAAAUAACGAUACGGGACUCAUCCGAGGCCCCGUAAUCGGAAUGAGUACACUUUAAAUCCUUUAACGAGUAUCCAUUGGAGGGCAAGUCUGGUGCCAGCAGC